GUAUGACCUUCUCGUAAUAACAUUGUGACUAAUUCAACGUCAUCAGAAUCGAGGGCCCGGUGGACCCGUUUUAUGUGUUUGUUGGGAAAACUAUCGCUCCCAGGCUUGUCCAAACCGAAGUCGAAUCGGGAAUCGAUAAUUUGUUUGACUAUCUGCUCUGGCAAAGCUUUAUCGAGUGUUACAAAGUCAACGUCGGAUUUGACUAAAAUGUCAAUGCAUUUAGAAUAAAGUUCCUCGCAUGAUUUCCCACAUGUGUUUGCGAUUGAUAGAACCACUAGAAUGUCGUCUACUGAUGCCUUAUCAAGAAUGUCUAGCAAGCGCCUCUACAUAACGGCAACCAUUUCUGCAAUCUGAAAAACAUGAAAAGCAUACACAACCUCCACCAUAAAAUCAACCGCGGGCCGACACGCUUCAUGUAAACAUUCCUCAUCAACACA
Molecule: long non-coding RNA, 437 nt
Filed under: Helianthus annuus (common sunflower)
Lineage: Eukaryota; Viridiplantae; Streptophyta; Magnoliopsida; Asterales; Asteraceae
Description: hypothetical non coding rna
Source: RNAcentral